CCAAGGACUGGCUGCAUUUGCCAUGAGAAAAUACAAACCAUAUCCAAUAUGUAACUUAGGCAAAGUCAACAUUGAGACUGUCUUCAUUAUGACUUCCUUCUUUGUUGCCUCAAAUGCUUAUUGAACUCUUACUAUCUUUCAAGCUUUGUGCUGGGUCUUAGAUUACAAGACUGAAUAAGAUAGACAUAACCUCCUUCCUCCUGGAUGUGGCAAUUUUUCCUUUGAAUCACUUCCACACAUGCAUUGCCUGGGGAUUGGGGACUGGAUCCCAUGGCCAGAUCGAAUCCCUAAGGUGGGUAGUGGAGCAUUCUUAAAUUGGGACAGAUUUUCACAGUGCGAAGGCUUGAAGAAGAAGAAACUCUCGAAAGGUAGGACUGACCUGCAGCUCUGUAAGACAAGGGAUCAAUGCUAUUAAAUGGAAUCUGCUCAUGAGGGUACCUCUUGAGAAUAAGUUGACUUCUUUCUUAUUUUCUCUUAGACUAUGGUUACAAGUAUAUUUAGCCAAGUGUUUUUGUUAUUGUUUUUAUUUUAUUUUAUAUUUAAUUUCCCUCAUACAAUAGAAUGUCUACCACCAACUCUUCAGAAAAAUCUAAUAUAUUAGUAUAGCUUUACCUGAUAUCAUUGCAAGGAAUAAAUGUAUGAAGUUUUAAAAAAAAAAGUGUGGCCUGCCUCACAUUCACUCCUCUGCUGAAACCCACACAGGACUUGGAGGAGGCCAUGCCCAGGAAUUCCAGGAGGCAGCCAGCAACAAGGGAGGCUUUUCUUUGGUGGAGUUUGGAAAGAUUAGGAGACGCAUGAAAAACAGCUUCCAGAAGCUUGAGAAGCAAAACCUUCCUUCUCCUAAAACUCCAGGGAAAUUAACCUUGAAGAGUAUGUUUGUAGGAAGAUUGAUGUUCCCCUUACAAAGAUCUGCUAAUUAGACGGCAAUAUCUAUGGAGGCUCAGUGAAAGGUGUAUUGAGAGGAAGGGUGGAAGCUUGAGAAAAGUGAAAAAGGUGUGAAAUAAGUGAGCGGGAGGAUGGGGCAGAGAGCUGAUGAAGAAACAUAUGCUGUGUUCAAAGUUCAGUUAGGAUGGUUUAGAGUCCAUUUGGUUGUCUUAUUUUCUCUAGCAGAUCAUCCGAAGAUUUAGAAAUGGGCAACAGUAGGGUUCAUCUAUCCCUGGUAUUUUCCCAGGCAGGUACAAUGGGAAAACAAGAUAGGAAAGUUAAGGGCAUUGGAAAGAAUGAGGAAGUGAUGGGCCAUAGAAUGUCAAUCAGGAGAGGAGGAAAUGAAGACAGACAGGAACUGAGAGGAAGAUACAAAGUAAAGAAUCUAUGGAAGAAUCCUAAGGAAUUCCAUAGAAUCCAUAGAAUUCCAUAGAAUCUAUGGAAGAAUUCUAAGGAAGGUCUCAAUGAGGACAAAGAAUGAUAGAUUGAAAGUAAUUUAAUUAAAGGUUAUGCUCAGAGAGUCUGACAUUUAAAAAAAAAUGUUUUUGAAACUGGAACAAUUCCAGGAGAUGACAUGUUCCAGGGUGUGUCUAUGGGAAUGACUGGCUGAAGUGGAGGGGGUCCAUGGAAGAAGCUAUUAGAGGACACUCACCUUCAAAAUGAGGAGAAAUAUGAGAAAAGGAAGACAAGAAUUCAAGAAGUCAGAGAUCCAACAAUAAUAACAAAAGUGGUAAGGUAAUUCUCAGGAUGACAGUAACAGGAAGUCCCAAGAAGACAGAAGUCCAGAUUGGUGAAAGACAAUGAAGAGCUACAAGAGGUUUGCACUCUGAAGAGAAGAAGGAAAAAAAACGGAACUCAUAGUUUGUCUAAUGUCUUUGACCACGUUUCAAGGAAGUACCUGGUUCUGUGCAAAGUUAGCAAAAGGUGUAUUUAAAAAAAUGAAGAAACAACAGAAUAAGGCAAUUGCCAACUAAAA
Sapajus apella (tufted capuchin) is the source of this 1900-nucleotide long non-coding RNA. RefSeq lists it as uncharacterized. The transcript has 2 exons. Lineage: Eukaryota; Metazoa; Chordata; Mammalia; Primates; Cebidae. The record is from RefSeq and is a predicted model, not a curated record.